Molecule: small nucleolar RNA, 108 nt
Filed under: Olea europaea subsp. europaea
Lineage: Eukaryota; Viridiplantae; Streptophyta; Magnoliopsida; Lamiales; Oleaceae
Description: Plant small nucleolar RNA R71
Rfam family: Plant small nucleolar RNA R71
About the family: R71 is a member of the C/D box family of snoRNAs containing the C (UGAUGA) and D (CUGA) box motifs.
Source: Rfam by way of RNAcentral
AAACCAUGUUGUGAACAUUUGUUAGAGUAGCCCUUUGUAUCUCUCUCAUGCCUCAUAAUAGCAUUCUUAAUCAAGCUGAGAGAAUGUGAUGAAUUCAUCAUUCAUUGG